GGACGGUGGGUAGAAUGCACUUGGCUUCUGCCUGUCCAAUCAUGCAUUUUUUGAUGAUAAAUACAGGGUUAAAGAAAAGAGAAAGAUGAUUAGAAAGCUAAGGUAGGGUUAAUAUUAUGGAUAAAGGCAUUGAAAUUUUGGGAGGGCCUGACUAGUUAGUAAAAAGCAAAAGAAGACAGUGAGCUGACAAAGGCAGUGAAUAUUUGGAAGUGAGAGCAGUGGUCGUGUUCUUGAGGCUGACUUUUGC
RNAcentral lists this long non-coding RNA (247 nucleotides) under Gossypium barbadense (sea-island cotton). RNAcentral's name for it is "long non-coding RNA (GBAR_LNC011719)". The record is from RNAcentral. Lineage: Eukaryota; Viridiplantae; Streptophyta; Magnoliopsida; Malvales; Malvaceae.